UCCACCGCCUACGCAAGUCCUUGUAAAGGAAGGGCGAAUUUUCUCCAGUUUCUACUAUUUCAGUUGUGAAAAGCGAACGGCGGAGAAUCCGGUGACGCUAACGGUAAUUUUCUAAUUGCUUCCGCCGGUGAACUUAGCCAUGCCGGAUGAAGAUGGUCUCAACACUAGUUGUAGUGAUAGUCGUACCUUGCAAACCAACGGCGGUGCUACCCUGGCGACCGUUCAAGAAUCAGGGUUGGAUCUCUCUGGUGGCGCUGAAUUAGAAGUGGGAUUGAAGCCCAAAGGUCAAGUAACGGAGAGAGACCCUAGGAAAAAGGCUAGAAAGUAUCAGUUGGAGCUCUGCCAAAAGGCAGUGGAGGAGAACAUAAUUGUGUAUCUGGGUACAGGAUGUGGGAAGACCCACAUUGCUGUCCUGCUUAUAUCCGAGUUCGCUCAUUUGAUAAGGAAACCCCAGAAGCAAGUGUGCGUCUUCCUUGCUCCUACCGUCGCUCUGGUUCAGCAGCAAGCCAGGGUCAUAGAAGAUUCUAUUGAUAGUAAGGUUGGAGUCUUUUGUGGGAGCUCCAAGAAGAUGAAAAGCCAUAAUGAUUGGGAAGAAGAGAUUCAGGAAUAUGAGGUCCUUGUCAUGACCCCCCAGAUACUAUUGCACAAUUUAAGUCACAGCUUUAUUAGGAUGGAGUUAAUUGCACUAUUAAUAUUUGAUGAAUGCCAUCAUGCUCAAGUCAAAAGUGGUCAUCCGUAUGCACAGAUCAUGAAGCUCUUCUACAAAACUGAGGGUGGAAAACUUCCUCGUAUAUUUGGCAUGACUGCAUCUCCUGUUGUAGGGAAAGGUUCUUCUAAUCAAGGAAAUCUUCCAAAAAGCAUCAAUAGCCUUGAAACUUUACUUGAUGCUAAGGUGUAUACAGUUGAAGUUAUGGAAGAGCUGGAAAGUUUUGUAGCAUCCCCAAAAUUGACAAUAUGUCAAUAUGGUCCUGUUGCAAAUUGCACUUCCAGCUCCCUUAUGAUUUAUAUUCAUGCACUUGCUGAUGUAAAGCGUCAGUGCACAUUGGCACUCAGCAGAACGGCAGAAGAUCAUCAAAGACUACGUGGCACCAAAAAACUGCUAAGCAAAUUGGAUAAUAACGUGGUAUUUUGUUUGGAAAACCUUGGCCUUUGGGGAGCAUUGCGAGCAUGCCAUAUACUUGGUGAUCAUUCUGAGUGGGGUGCACUUGUUGAAGCAGAGGACCAUUUUAGUGGUGACGUUUGUGAUAGAUAUCUAGCUCAGGCUGCCAGGAUUCUUACUUCUGGUUUGUUGCGAGAUGGUGUUGCCUCUGAUCUAUCUUCUGUGGAGGUUCUAAAAGAGCCAUUUUUCUCAAAAAAGCUUCUGCGUUUGAUUGGAAUUCUUUCGGACUACAGGUUACUACCGAAUAUGAAAUGUAUAGUUUUUGUGAAAAGGAUUGUUACUGCUAGAUCGCUGUCAUACAUACUGCAAAAUCUUAAACUUCUGUCAUCUUGGAAGUCUGAUUUUCUUGUUGGAGUCCACUCUGGACUGAAAAGUAUGUCUCGGAAGGCCAUGAACACGAUUCUUGAGAAGUUCCGGAUUGGACAGUUGAAUUUAUUGGUUGCAACCAAAGUGGGCGAAGAAGGACUUGAUAUUCAGACAUGCUGCCUUGUGAUACGUUUUGAUCUUCCAGAAACUGUUGCUAGCUUUAUACAAUCAAGAGGUCGAGCACGAAUGAAUGAAUCACAAUAUGUAUUUUUGGUCGACAGUGGCAACCAGAAGGAGCUUGAGUUGAUUGAAAGUUUUAGGAAAGGUGAAGACAGAAUGAAUAUGGAGAUUGCUUUCAGAACUUCUUGUGAGACCUUUACUGAGAUUGAGGAAAAAACAUAUAAAGUUAACCUAUCUGGUGCUUGCAUCAGUUCUGGAUAUAGCGUUUCAUUGCUUCACCAUUACUGUUCAAAACUUCUGCAUGAUGAGUUUGUUGACCCCAGUCCAAAAUUCUCCUAUUUUGACGAUUUGGGUGGGACUAUCUGCCAUGUAACGUUACCCUCCAAUGCUCCUGUACGUCAAAUUGUCAGUGCGCCAGAAUCUUCGGCUGAAGCUGCUAAGAAGGAUGCUUGUUUGAAAGCCAUUGCGCAGUUGCAUAAACUGGGUGCGUUUAAUAAUUCUCUGUUGCCAGCGCAAGAUGAUAAAAGUGAAAAGUUGGUGGUCUCCACUGAUUUUGACAACAGUGAAGCUCAUGGAUGUUUACGAGGAGAUUUACAUGAGAUGCUAAUUCCCACGGCACUGAAAGAAUCAUGGACUAACUCUGAGGACCCUGUAGUCCUAAACUGUUAUUAUAUUGACAUUAAUCCUACUCCUAGAGAUAGGACCUAUAAGAAGUUUGCCCUUUUCAUCAAGGCAGCUCUUCCAAGAGAGGCUGAGAGAAUGGAAGUUGAUCUUCACUUAGCUCGUGGUAGAUCUGCGAUGACAAAGCUUGUUCCAUCAGGAUCGGUAGAAUUUAGUAAAGAUGAGAUUAUGGAGGCUGAGAAGUUUCAAGAAAUGUGUCUCAAAAUCAUCCUUGACCGAGAAUUACUACUUGAAUCUGUUCCGCUUGGAAAGGAUCGUUCGUGUAAAUCAAGCUCAUCAACCUUCUACCUUUUGCUCCCCGUCAUUUUUGAUGCUCAUGAAAGAACUGCGUAUGUUGAUUGGGAGGUUGUCAGAAGAUGCUUAUCAUCUCCCGUUUUUGGGACUCCAUGUGAUACUUUGGACACAGAAGUUAGCCACUUGCAACUUGCUGAUGGGUUCAGAAGUAUAAGUGACAUUGAGAGUAGUUUAAUAUAUGCUGAACACAAGAAAAAAUUUUACUUCAUUACUAAUAUUCGUCACGACAUGAAUGCGUACAGCCCACACAGAAGUUCGGGCGCUUCAAAUUAUAUGGAUCACUUCUACAAAACGUUUGGCAUUACUCUUAAAUCUCCAGAGCAGCCACUUCUUUGCGCAAAACCACUAUUUUCUUUGCGCAACUUGCUGCAUAAUCGGAAGCAAGAGGAGGAUUCAGAUGUUCUUGAACUAGGGGAGUUUUUUGUUAACCUCCCUCCCGAGCUAUGUCAAUUGAAGAUAAUAGGAUUCUCGAAGGAUAUUGGGAGUUCUCUAUCUUUAUUACCGUCAAUUAUGCAUCGUCUGAAGAACUUGCUCGUAGCUGUUGAACUGAAAGAGAUGCUCUGUGAUUCGUUCCCAGAGGGGGCUGAAGUUACUGCCCUUGGAGUUCUGGAAGCUCUUACAACAGAGAAAUGUCAAGAGCGCAAAUCUCUUGAAAGGCUGGAAGUUCUUGGUGAUGCUUUUCUCAAAUUUGCAGUUGGCCGCCACCUUUUUCUUAUGUAUGGUUUACAUGAUGAAGGAGAGCUCACGAGGAAACGUUCUAAUGUAGUCAAGAAUUCAAAUUUGUUCAAGCUAGCUACUAAAAACAACUUGCAGGUGUAUAUAUGUGAUCAGCCAUUUGAUCCGCCCCAAUUCUUUGCUCUGGGCCGCCCUUGUCCAAAUAUUUGUACAAAGGAAAAACAAGCAGCUAUUCAUGAUCAACUUGAAACUCCUGUAGCUGGUCAUUCCCAGUCCUGUGAAGUUCAAUGCAGUAAAAAUCACCACUGGCUGUACAGGAAAACAAUUGCUGAUGUGGUUGAAGCUCUUGUUGGAGCAUUCAUAGUGGACAGUGGCUUCAUGGCGGCAACUGCAUUUCUUAAAUGGCUUGGCAUCCAAGUGAGCUUUGAAGUAUCACAAGUUAGUAAUAUUUGCAUAGAAAGUGGGAGAUACCUAUCCCUUGCUUCUUCCAUUGACGUCACUGAACUUGAAAACGUGCUGGGGUAUCAUUUUAUCCACCAAGGUCUGCUUCUACAAGCAUUUGUUCAUCCAUCUUACAGUAAGCAUGGUGGAGGCUGCUAUCAGAGAUUGGAGUUCCUUGGAGAUGCUGUCUUGGAUUACUUAAUGACAUCAUAUCUAUUUUCAGUUUAUCCAAAUUUGAAGCCUGGUCAAUUGACUGAUUUGAGAUCGGUAUCUGUGAAUAACAAGGCCUUUGCCAGUGUUGCAGUUGAUCUGUGUUUCCAAAAAUUUCUUAUUAGUGAUUCGCCUGCCCUUAGUGAUGCCAUUAAAAAAUACGAGGAGUUUGCAAAAAGAACUGUUGCAUCAGAAAGGGCUGUGGUUGAUGGGCCAAAAUGUCCAAAGGUGCUUGGCGACUUGUUAGAAUCUUGUCUGGGUGCGAUUCUUCUUGAUUCUGGGUUUAAUUUGAAGUGUGUCUGGAAGAUUAUGCUGUCCUUUUUGGAUCCAAUUGUGAGCUUUUCAAGCUUGCAGCUUAAUCCUGUCAGAGAACUACGGGAACUUUGUCAAUCUCAUAAUUUGAGUUUGCAGUUUCCAACAUCAAAGAAAGGCAGAAAUUUUUUAGUUGAUGCACACGCUAAGGGGAAAGAUGUUGAUGUAGGUGCUUCUAUUACCAGAGUGAACAAAAAAGAUGCUAUUGCAAGUGCUUCACAGCACAUAUAUGCAGAGCUGAAGGACAAGGGCUACGUACCGAAGUUCAAAACUUUGGAGGAAGUUCUAAGGUCUAGCCAAAAAAUGGAACCAAAAUUGAUUGGAUAUGAUGAAACUCCUAUUGAUGUUAUUGCUCCUUCCGCCAUUGUAUUUGAAAGCUCUGAGCUUCAGGAACACUCUGGCGGCAACUGCAAACCCAAACUUUGUUCCUCCAAUAAAGGCAACAAGAUUUACUCAUACUACAUCAGUCCUGGCAAUAGGCAGCUUUCAUCUUCGGCAGACCGUGUUGAACAUUUCAAUAAGAUGGUUUUGGAUCCUAAUUGUGACGGUGAAUCACGGCCAACAGGUGGAUCUGUCUCACAAAAAGGCUCAGCAAGAUCUUGUUUAUAUGAAAUAUGUGCUGCUAACCACUGGAAACCCCCUUAUUUUGAGUGUUGCAAUGAGGAAGGCCUAAGUCACUUGAAAUCUUUCACCUACAAGGUUAUCAUGGAAAUAGAAGAAACCCCAGUUAUGAUUUUGGAGUGCUUUGGGGCACCACAUAUGAAAAAGAAGGCUGCGGCAGAACAUGCUGCAAAAGCUGCACUUUCGUACUUGGAGAGUGAAGGAUACUUACAUUCCAAGUGAUUGGCAUAAGAGACAAAAGGGUGAAGGAAUAUUUCAACACGACUAAGGCGGCAGCUCCUGGUCAUCAAAAAAAGAAACGGAAGCAUUACAUGUCCAUAAUUUUGAUGUUCAUAAUUGUCCAUAACCUUUAGGUGGCAUGAGGAGAAGUGUGGGGAUCAUUUAAAAUGGUUCCCACACUUCUCCUCAUGUCAUCUAGAUUAUAGACAAUUAUGGACACCAAAAUUAUGGACACAUCAUUUUGGAAAAAGAAAAGAAAAGAAAAGGCGACAGCUCCUAGAUGAAGUGUAAAUUGUAUCUGAAACUGUGCAUAUAGUAGUUGUAGAGGAUUGUUAUUAUGUUGAAUUGUCUUUACAAUCACUAUAGUGACAAUCUUCUGCAAUUGAUAUAUGCACGUUUAGGUACAAUUUACUCUUCAUAUUUGGGUUGUGCUUUCAGUUCUCUCAAUUCAAUGUAAAAGAUAAAAGAUAAAUGACACUACGGUUGUGCAUCAGAAAAAUUAUGAAUAAAUGAUGAUUGCCUUCAUGUUUAAGCUCUGAAUAGUAUUCAUGCU
Molecule: RNA transcript, 5651 nt
Organism: Tripterygium wilfordii
Lineage: Eukaryota; Viridiplantae; Streptophyta; Magnoliopsida; Celastrales; Celastraceae
Gene name: dicer-like protein 4
Exons: 26
Source: RefSeq, a predicted model, not a curated record